AGUGAACGCUGGCGGUAGGCCUAACACAUGCAAGUCGAACGGCAGCACAGUAAGAGCUUGCUCUUACGGGUGGCGAGUGGCGGACGGGUGAGGAAUACAUCGGAAUCUACUUUUUCGUGGGGGAUAACGUAGGGAAACUUACGCUAAUACCGCAUACGACCUACGGGUGAAAGCAGGGGAUCUUCGGACCUUGCGCGAUUGAAUGAGCCGAUGUCGGAUUAGCUAGUUGGCGGGGUAAAGGCCCACCAAGGCGACGAUCCGUAGCUGGUCUGAGAGGAUGAUCAGCCACACUGGAACUUAGACACGGUCCAGACUCCUACGGGAGGCAGCAGUGGGGAAUAGUGGACAAUGGGCGCAAGCCUGAUCCAGCCAUACCGCGUGGGUGAAGAAGGCCUUCGGGUUGUAAAGCCCUUUUGUUGGGAAAGAAAAGCAGCAGGUUAAUACCCCGCUGUUCUGACGGUACCCAAAGAAUAAGCACCGGCUAACUUCGUG
Molecule: ribosomal RNA, 492 nt
Filed under: uncultured bacterium
Lineage: Bacteria
Description: partial 16S ribosomal RNA
Rfam family: Bacterial small subunit ribosomal RNA
Source: RNAcentral